Molecule: ribosomal RNA, 595 nt
Filed under: Thelephoraceae sp. PPS1
Lineage: Eukaryota; Fungi; Basidiomycota; Agaricomycetes; Thelephorales; Thelephoraceae
Description: eukaryotic LSU rRNA
Rfam family: 5.8S ribosomal RNA (bases 167-321)
Source: RNAcentral
AUGGGGGCAUGUGCACGCUCUGUUUACACAUCCACUCACACCUGUGCACCCACCGUAGUUCUGUGGCCUGGGGGGCUCUGUCCCCUCUGCUGUGGUUCUAUGUCUUUACAUACACACUGUAAUAAAGUUUCAUGGAAUGCAUCAUGCGUUUAACGCAAUACAAUACAACUUUCAGCAACGGAUCUCUUGGCUCUCGCAUCGAUGAAGAACGCAGCGAAAUGCGAUAAGUAAUGUGAAUUGCAGAAUUCAGUGAAUCAUCGAAUCUUUGAACGCACCUUGCGCCCUUUGGCUAUUCCAGAGGGCAUGCCUGUUUGAGUAUCAUGAACACCUCAACUCUCAUGGUUUUUCUGUGAUGAGUUUGGACUUUGGAGGUCUUGCUGGCCUGUGGUCAGCUCCUCUCAAAUGAAUCAGCUCCCCAGUGUUUGGUGGCGUCACAGGUGUGAUAACUAUCUACGCUUGCGGCUUCCACAAGGUAACCUUCAGUGAUGGAGGUUCGCUGGAGCUCAUAAAUGUCUCUCCUCAGCGAGGACAGCCUCUUGAAUGUUUGAUCUCAAAUCAGGUAGGGCUACCCGCUGAACUUAAGCAUAUCAAUAAG